AGGCUCAGAGAUCGUGUUUCUAUCCUCAUCACUGUGUUUAAUUGUUCAAUUAAGAGGCUUUUCUUUUGGACACCGUUCUUGUUUGGAUUCAUUGGCUCUUAUACUUCUCUUUUUUUUUGCGCUCUUUUGAGCACGCUUUUUGCCAACCUCAAUAUUUCUAGAUAAGUGCUUUAUUUUACUACUCAUAAUUUUUUCAUUUUUUUUUUGGAAGUCUCACACUUUUCUAUUUUUUUUCAACUGCACUUAUCUAGUUCUCACCGGUGUCCCUACAAAAAUCAGAACCCCCAAACUUAGGAUUUUCCACAGAUCUAGAGUCAACAACACUUAUCCAAGCAAGGUAAGGUAGUAUUUGGGCUUAACGUUAU
This 365-nucleotide long non-coding RNA is filed under the name Lathyrus oleraceus (garden pea). RNAcentral describes it as "Pisum sativum (pea) long non-coding RNA (PSAT_LNC029530)". Lineage: Eukaryota; Viridiplantae; Streptophyta; Magnoliopsida; Fabales; Fabaceae. The record is from RNAcentral.